Molecule: long non-coding RNA, 295 nt
Organism: Arabidopsis thaliana (thale cress)
Lineage: Eukaryota; Viridiplantae; Streptophyta; Magnoliopsida; Brassicales; Brassicaceae
Product: other RNA
Exons: 1
Source: RefSeq
UCUCUCAGGUAAGCAAGAACCUCACUAUGACCUGGAUGUCUUCUCGGAUCUCUAGACCCGUUUUCGAGUCUGGUCGAAAACGGGAAAUCAGUGAAACCCAUGCAUUCUUGUGGGAUGAUGGUUCGGAGAGAACUGUAGAGGCUCGAAUGGAUUACGGGUCGGGUCGGGUCGAUGCUAAGGGGGUCGGGUUCAACGUUUGGCGUGUAAGCCCACACGCCUCCGAUGUGGUUCCCACGUUCGAAAACAACGACAGAGUGGCCCUCACGGCGGAGCUCUCGAGCAGCCACGAGUCCGG